AAGAAAGUUCUCAUGUUGACUUGUUGACAGUUUUGCUGAGAGAAGGGAAGGGAAAAGGAGAAGCACACGAUGAUAUAUUUCUAAGAGAUGCUGUGUUCAAUCUUUUUGUGGCUGGGAGAGAUACCAUAACUUCAGCUCUCACCUGGUUCUUUUGGCUUGUUGCUACAAACCCUUUGGUGGAGGCCAAGAUUCUUGAAGAGAUGAAGGAAAAGUUUGGAAGAAAUGAAAAGAAAGCAGAGGUUUUAAGUGUGGAAGAAGUGAAAAAACUGGUUUAUCUGCAUGGUGCUAUAUGUGAAUCACUGAGGCUGUUUCCUCCCAUACCCUUUGAACGCAAGGAAGCACUUAAAUCAGACGUGCUUCCUAGUGGUCAUGGUGUUAAUCCAAGCACAGUUAUAUUGUUUUGCUUGUAUUCAAUGGGAAGAUUUGAGGAAAUAUGGGGAGAAGAUUGCAUGGAGUUCAAGCCAGAGAGAUGGAUUUCACAGAAAGGAGGUAAUGUUUAUGUACCAUCUUACAAAUUCAUUGCUUUUAAUGCAGGACCAAGGACUUGUUUGGGCAAAGAUGUCUCCUUCAUUCAGAUGAAGAUGGUGGCAACUGCAAUUUUGCACAAGUAUCGUCUCCAAGUGGUGGAAGGUUAUGUUGCUAAGCCAAACCUUUCAAUCGUUCUUCUGAUGAAGGAUGGGUUAAAGGUUAAGAUAAAGAAAAGAGAAAUUUAGUUUGAUGUAUGUGGGAAUUCAAAUCUCAAACAGAAAAAAGUGCAAAAGAUAUAAAAUAAAGUGUCAUAUGUAUGUGAAAUGAAGCUAAUAAUGAUGGUGUAUAAGAUGCCUUUGGUUUGAUGAAUGCAUUUGGCUUAUUGCAGUAAGUUUCGAGGUUUGUCUUCUGGGCAAUGUUUUUAAAAUAUUAUAGAAAUGAGUUUUUUUUAGAAAAUUUACUUAUACGAAUAAGUAGUACACAUACCACAUCAUUUUAUUGUUGCAGUAGAAGUCAUGUUUAAUCCAUGUAACAUAAGUUUGACUAAUAUUAAUUGAGAUUUAUUUUUAUAUUCUUAAUGAGGGGUGUCGUAUUAGAAUGACUUUAAAGUUAUAUCUAAUUAAAGUUGGAUAGGUAUGUUUACCUGAAAUUAUGUUUGUUUCCUAUGAUUUAAUUAUUUAGUUAUUAAAUUUGUUUAAAUUAAAUAGAAAUUAAGACUAAAUUUAAAUAAAUUAAGUAAUAUUUGAUUAUACUCUGAAAAAUUAUUGGAUGAUUUAAUAAAAAAUAAACAAUGCACUAGUCUUAAAUAAAUAAAUAAAUGGCAUUUAACAUUUUAUUGUUUGAUAUUUUAGCAUUAUAAGUUUUUUUACGUGAAAAUAUUAAUUAUUAAAUUCAAAAUUAAUAUUGUGCAAUUGAGAAAUAAAUAAGAGUAGUUGGUAGGGUUUUAGAGAUCGAUUAUAAAAAAAAAAUAUUAAAAAUAUAGAAAUUAGUAAUUAAAUGUGGGAAAAUUGAAAAAAUUGAAGGUAGAAAUUUGACCAUAAAAUAAAGAAGAAACAGGGAAAGUUAAUAAUUGAAAUUGUAAUAUGAAUAUUGUUAUAUUACAUAAAAUAAUUUAUCUAUGAAAGGAUGUGCGACAAUGUGAUUUUUUUUGUUUGUCUUCUAGGCCUCCAUGGAUGGUGACGGUUGGAAGAUGGUGAAUGUGGAUCAAUAUUGAUGCCUUUGUUGUCAUUAUUAUUACCUUCAUUAUGAGGUCCUUAGGAGGAUAUGAUGGGACAACAAUAAUACAUGAAUAAUGUCAUAUUGUAUAUAGUUGUAUGAGUGAAUGUUGAAUUUUCAAACAUAUUUGGUUAAUCCCAAAAAAGAUCCUGUAGACUAGGAAAAUCAUUAUAUGGGUAGAGAACCUGUUGUCGUGGAGAAUGAACUACAAGUAGCAAUGCUGAUCCAUGUAUGUAGACAUUGAUAAUUGUUGAAGAUCGGACAAAUUGGACUAACCAACAUGAAACUGUUGACUACAAAAAGAAGAACCCAACAUGCUGAUAAGGAGGGUUGUGGUUGACAAUAGUACAAAACAAUACAUUAACGAUGGUUAAAAAGGUCAUAUAAAGACGGUUCGAGAAUAGUCGUUAUUGCGGGUAUCGUUAUAAAUCAACUGUUUAUAAUAACCCUCGUUAUAAAACAACAUUAACGACACGUGUAAAAAACUGUCAUUAUUCUACCAAAUAAAGGAAAAAUAAAAAAUAUAUUUAUAACGAGAGUUCGGGCCUAGAACCAUCAUUAUAACCCCAAAAAUGGAAUUUUAAGGACGGUUAUGUCAUUAUAAGUAAUUUAAAAAAAAUAAUAUUAUAUAUAUAUAUAUAUAUCCUAAUCUUGCAUAAAAUACCAGAUAAAUGUAAUAUAAUUAUAAUGGUUUGAUAAAUCUCUAAUUUAUACCAGAAAACAUCAUGCAAAAUUUCAGAAUUUUCUGACAAGUGUAAGUACGAGAACUAAAACCUCGAAAUACCUGAAAAAUACCCAAAUAAUACUUAAAAAUAAAAAAAUAAUAGUAAACAAUGGAUUUUUGGAAUUUUGGUGGAUCCCAAUAGUCCUCGGGGAUUGGCCAUGUGAUUUGUUACCUUGUUUCGACAAACUUUCAUUUUUUACGUGUCUCUAUCCGUCUUUUCUAUCAAAAGUUAUGGUCGUGUGAAGUUUCUUCAUGCUAAUUUUUGCCAACUCCAAAUCUAUCACUUUUCUCUUCAAUGUCAGGACUCUUCCAUCAAAUAUCCACUAAAUGAAGUUCCCACAAACCCUAAACUAUUAACUAAUCAAAACAUACAUUCAAAUAUUUAUAAAAAUUUAAAACCCAAAACCCUAAAAAUACUAACAUUUUGGAGCCAAGUCUGCGGUGGCAGUGUGUGGUGGAGAUGUUGGCGGUGUGCAGAAGGUGUUGCCGAUGUGCGAAGGUGAAGAGUUGGCGCGCGGAGGCGAAGGAAACUGUUUGCUUGUGCGUGCAGAGGAGAAAAAAAGAUGCUUGGCAUGUUGGGGAACUUCGAUGGUUGGCGCAUUUUGCGCUGACUUGUGUUGUGCGGUGUAAGGUUUGGACGACUGGACAAGGCGUGGAGAUAUGAGGAUGGAGUUGGAGGACGACGCACAACUUUUAGUGUAUUGGAGCAGAUGACGAGAAUGGGAGAAGAAGAAUGAAUGGAGGAGGGGCCAAAUCUUUGAGUGUAUUGGAGAGUGAGAGGCGAGAAUGGAGAAUGGAGGAGGGUGCAGAGAUUUGAUUGAAGGCGCAAAUGGGAGAAAAUGAGUGAAUGAGUGUGCGUGGGAUAGGUUUAUUUUUCGUUUUUUAACGAUAGUUAAGUGCUAAACCGUCGCAGUUUGGAUGCAGAACCCAUUUUUAACGAUGGUUCAGAAAAGAACCGUCGUAGUUUUCACAUAGGACCAUUUUUAACAAUGGUUCAAAAAGAAACCGUCGUUAUUUUGCAAUGAAAUGUUGAGUUAAUAACAAAAAUGCCACCGUGCUUUUUCCAACGACGGGUUUCUGCCAACUGUCGUUAUUCAGUGUGGUUUUAAAGAUUUGUUGUACUAGUUUGAGGUUGGUUAAACCUUAUGGUGUGUCGUACUGUUGAAAAAUAAUGUCAAAUUUUAGAUAUUACAUGAGGAAAAGUUAAAUGUAGUUAACUUAUAUUGUCGUCAGAUGUCAGUUCCAAAGGUGAUAUGUACCAAAUAAUAUGGUUAAUGUAUUAUUACAUGUAUAUUAUCGUGUCACGUAAAUGACCAUUACUGCUGAACUAAAUACCUUCAAUGAGAUGAUUGUGUUGAUCAAUCCACAUUACUAUCCACCUUUGAUGGUACCUCCAAUUUUUGUUUGUUUUAUUUCUCAUAUCUUCUUUGUACAAUUGAUAUAAGUUUAAUGGGUUUAAUGGAAUAUCUUGUUAAAACCUAAAUUGUCAUAUCACUCAAUUAACUUGAUGAAAUCCAAAGGUGGCAAAACAUAUCAAAUGAACUACUUCCCUAUUAACAGGAUAAACCUCAACAAAUUAUUAAGGGAGCGAUGUCGUCUCUGUUGUAAGGAGUCCACAAGAAUUGCUAAAAUUGUCAUUAAAUGUCAAGAUUUGAUGUAGGUCUGUUAAACCAGUUUUGGCUUUAACUAAUCUAACUUCUUCCUUAUUAAACUCACUAAACUCGUAGGAGGGUGUUGUAUCAAUGACAAUACACGAAACCACCUUGUAUAAAUAAUAAAUGUAUUAGAAAGAACAAAAAUGUUAAGAAUGAUUCAAAGUUUUAUUUGGAAAAGUAAUAGUGUAUAUAAAAAUUUACCUUUUUCGAGAGGAAUCAAGUCCUGAAACAAUGUCUUCUGCCAUUAAUGACUUAAUUGAUGGGAAAAGACAUUUAUUUCAUCCUCACCAACAUUGUAAUAACAACAUGCAACAUCCUAAAUUUUCUGGGUUGAAAUCAAUUCCAUAAUCUAAAGUACGAUACACAAGUCAAGACAACUUAAUCAAUAUAAUAUCUAAUUAUUUUUUUUAUCUCUAAAAUUAGUUUUUAUUUAAUAAUUUUAUUGUAUUACGAAGUAUUUGACAUAAGUGUACUAUCCAUAAGUAAAAGAAUGCAUGCUCAUUCGUUUUAAGGGAUCACAUCGUUGAUUUCAUGAAUAAGAAGUUUGUAAAAGUUGAUCUUGAAUCAAACUAAUUUAAUUUUGUUUUAGUAACAUUUGUGAGAGAUAUGAAUCCCAACAAUUAUUGGUAUAGGGAACCAAAGUCAACAAAAAAUAGUCUUUCUUCACGUGAAGAACCAUCCAAAUUGACACUCACCUAAUAUGUGCACGCUACCAUUUAUUGAUACUUGUUCUUGAUGUGAAUUAAGGGUCACAUUACAUCCAUUACUACUAUGUACUUAAACCUCCCUCAACUUAAGGACAAUAAAUCCCCCAUUUACGUCAUUACAUUUGCUACUCAAUGAAAUAUAAUCAACUUAUAAUAUGGAUGUUAGCUAGCCAUUUUUAAUUUUAUUAGAUGAUUUAACUUAGAUUAAACAACUUGUUAAUACAAUUCUAUUCACUUGUUCGAAAGUUUAUUUAUAACAAUUUGUUAAAGAAUUCAAGUUUAAUAUACUAUAUCAAUAUCAUAUAAAGGAUUUUUACAUUAUGAACUAAUUAUCAAUUAUUUUAAAUAUAAUUUUUUACUUAAUCAUUACAAAAUUUAAUAAUAUAUGUGAUAAUAUUUUUUUUUUCAGAAAGAUUAUUUAAACUAACUAACAAAAUUGCAUUAUUUAACUAAAUUUGAUGUUUUCAAAUGAAAUUUCAUAUUUAAAUUUUAUUGAUACUUCUCAAGAGAUACAUAUUAUAAAUUUCACUCUUAAAAUUCAUUAAAUUAAUCCUUAAAACUUAAAAUUAGGACAUAAUAAAAUAAUUAAAUCAAAGUAAUAUAUUUUUACAAAAACUAUGGGUUUUUACAUAAAAAUUAAAUAUCAAUCCAAUUAAAGCUUAUGUGAUACAAAGGGUCAUUAAAUAUCGGUAGAUAACUAUGAUCUUAAUUAUAGAAGAAAUUUGGAACUACAAAAACAAAAGCAUUUUUAAGAAUUACAAAAUUAAUCACAUUGAAAUGUUUACAAUGAUACAACUAAAUGUACGGUCUUGGGUUAUGUCUAAGGUAAAAACUUUAAGUUUCUCUUAUUUUGGGUUAUGUCUAAGGUAAAAACUUUAAGUUUCUCUUAUUUAGAUUGCUGUCUGGAUACUUUCAUAUGUAUGAAAUUAAUAAGAAAUUGUGAUAAUUAAUCAAAUUUAUUCAGAGUGAACUCAAUUCUUUUACAUGUAUGGUUACAUCUUAAAUAUUUUCUUAAAAAUCCAAUUAAGUGGAAAUAAGUGUCUGACCUGGAUAAGUUUCUCAAUUUUAUCUUUCAACGCUUGACACUCCUUAGUGGUAUGUCCACUGUUUCUAUGGUACCAACACCUACGAGUACGAUCGGCAUUCUCAAGGCUCGUGACCUUCCUAGGUGGUGGAAUCAACUCGGCGCUUAGGGCCUCUUCUAGGAUCCUCCGCCUAUUGACACUCAAGGGGGUAUAUGUCAUGAACCGACUCCCUCAGUUGUCUCUACACCUAUCCCCCCGACCAAAAGUUGGUUGGUUUUGACGCUAUUUCUCGUCCUUCCCCUUGUCUCCACUGGCCUCCGCUCAGGCCUGAUUUCUAAACUCUCUCAACUCCUCCGGUUGCAUAAACUUGGGGCUCUCCGUCUAAGCUCGUCCAAACUUGCAGCCGACUGCAUGCACAAGCUGUCAGCAAAUGGUUCCGACCGCAGGGCCAUCAACAUGAGAUGCAUUGCUCCAUCCGAGCUUAGGUUCCGGAUGCUCAUGACCACUUUACCAAACCUGUCUACAAACUUCCUCAGCGAUUCCUUCUUCUCCUGGCAGAUGCUGACCAGGACGAUGGAGGUCAGAUGAUGUGGUCGGCUGGUGGCAAAUUGUGUCCCGAACUUGGACACCAGUGCCUCAAAGCAGUCAACGGAGUUUGGGGGGAGCUUUGUAAACUAACUUAAAGCCCCUCCUUUGAGUGAUGUGGGGAAUACUCGGCAUAGGACUACGUCGUCCGAAGUAUACAAGCUCAUGUUCGUGGUGUACGCGUCCAUGUGCUCGUCCGGGUCGGUCAUGCCGUCAUAACAAUCCCUAUUGAAGCCUUUCCACUUGUCCGAUAGUUGUACUCCGGUUAUGGAGUCGGUAAAAGGGUGUCGGUGGACCGAUUCCAGAGUACCAGUCGUGGGGGUCGACCUGUUCAGAUUAGACUCGUCGUCAACCUCUUGGGUGUGAACUUUGUCCUUCGGCUCCUCAAUAGUCUUGGGGUUGGUGGGGGUGGUGAAGGACCUCCUAACAAGAUUGGUUGGUCCAGCGGACGGUCCCCCCUCCACAAACUUCCUUUUAAUCUCUUCAUUCUCCUUCCGGAGAGCCAGGAUUUCAUCCUCAUUCUUUCGAGUGAUCUUCUCAUUUCUUCUCUUCAUCUCAUCCAUCUCUCUUUGCAGAGACAUCAACAAUGCCAUAUUCUCAAUUUCAGACAUCCUUUCACUAGCCAUGCUUCGGGUUGAUACCAUCUACUUUUUUCUUCGCUCUAAUUCUCUGGGCCCCACGGUGGGCGUCAAUUGUUCUCAAUUGGGGUUGGGGCCUAGAGAACAAUUCAAGCUGCUCCUCUACCUCCUUGAUCGGUCGGUUUGCACUUCUGUUCCUCUCCAAGCAAGCUCCUUACUUUUCUCUUCUCACCCUACUCCUCGAUCUUCACGUAGUUCAGACUUGGAUGGUACCUGCAGAAGGCACUCUAAUGCUCAAGUCAGAUUUAGUAUUUGGCACUUGGUAUUCUGAGUAUUGUGUAAUGACGAACCUGAAUAUUAGAAUCUGUGUUAUUUAUAUUAUUUUGGUGGACCUUUCUUAUUGGGUCAGGUUAGAAAGUUAGGUCGUGUUUAGAAAUGUAUUACCUAACUCUUGAAUGCUGAUUAGCCUCACUAAUUCUGCUUAGACGUAAUUAACUUUGUGAUGUUGAUCGGUAUAAUAACGGGUACCCAGUCAUAGGCCGUUGGCCCUACUAGUACAUUAAAGAUGUAGCUGUUUCAGAUCUUGUGAAAUAAAGAAGACGUGCACCUCUAUCUACCUUCAUCCCAACAAUUUCUUCAAUUUCUGACCUAACUAGUCAACAUCAUCUUUUCCAACUUCGUACAAUGUUCGUCGUUUCUUCUAUAUUUGCCCAAAACAUUAAUAUACACUUUUCACGUGAACAUAAAUCAACAUCUAACCCUUUAUAAGAGCAUAAUAUCCAUGCAAGUGCCACACACAUCCUCAAGAAACAACCUAAGAAACAAAGGUUUUUGUGUUGUUCAUCAAUUUACUAUGGCACUAUUGCUUGGCCAUGCCGCAGCAACAGUUGCAGCACUCUUCUGCAUCAUCUAUUUCUUCCAUCGGAGACUAUCUUGCAGAUACCCUCUCCUCACUGACUACCCCAUCCUUGGAAUGCUACCAGAGGUACUCUGCAAUCUGUGGCGCAUCCAUGAUUUUGCCACUGAGGUAUUGAAACAGAAGGGGGGAACUGGUGACUUCACUGGACCAUGGUUUACCAACAUGAACUAUUUGUUCACGAGUGACCCCCUAAACGUGCGCCACGUCAUGAGCACGAGUUUCCACAACUACGUGAAGGGACCCGUGUUUCGUGACAUUUUUGAAGCCUUCGGAGAAGGGCUUGCAGCCGCUGAUUCAGAAGCAUGGAAAUACAACAGGGAUCUCAUUCAUUAUCUCUUAAAACAGAAAAAUUUCGAGGGGUUUCUAGAGAAAACCGUUCACAAGAAGGUCCAGAGUAGCCUACUUCCCGUAUUGGAUCAUGUACACCAACAAGGGAGUGUGGUGGAUCUUCAAGACCUCUUCAACCGCUUCACUUUUGAUAACAUAUGUUAUAUAGUUCUUGGCCAUGACCCUAAUUGCCUUUCCGUGGAUUUUCCCGAAGUUGAAAUUGAGAAGGCUUUUAAUGAAGCGGGAGAGACCAUUUUUCACAGACAUGUAGUGCCAAAGUGUGUUUGGAAGCUGCAGAAAUGGCUUCAUAUUGGGCAAGAGAAGAAGAUGACAGAAGCGUGUAAGACGCUUGAUGAGUUCAUAUAUGCAUGCAUAGCGUCCAAGAGAAAAAAUCUUAGCAAGUGCAUAGAAAAAAAUGAAACGGAAGAAACUUCUGAUGUUGACUUGUUGACAACUUUGAUGAGAGAAGGGAAGGAAAAAGGAGAAGAAUAUGAUGAUAUAUUUCUGAGAGAUACUGUGUUCAAUUUUUUUGUGGCUGGGAGAGAUGCCGUAACUUCAGCUCUCACGUGGUUCUUUUGGCUUGUUGCUACAAACCCUUUGGUGGAAGCCAAGAUUCUUGAAGAGAUGAAGGAAAAGAUUGGAAGCAAUGAAAAAGCUAUGGAUGUUUUAAGUGUGGAGGAGGUGAAAAAGCUGGUUUAUCUGCAUGGUGCUAUAUGUGAAUCACUGAGGCUGUUUCCUCCCAUACCCUUUGAACGCAAGGAAGCACUUAAAUCUGACUUGCUUCCUAGUGGUCAUGGUGUUAAUCCAAGUACAGUUAUAUUGUUUUUCUUGUAUUCAAUGGGAAGAUCUGAGGAAAUAUGGGGAGAAGAUUGCAUGGAGUUCAAGCCAGAGAGAUGGAUUUCAGAGAAAGGAGGUAUUGUUUAUGUACCAUCUUACAAAUUUGUUGCUUUUAACACAGGACCUAGGACUUGCUUGGGCAAAGAUGUCUCCUUCAUUCAAAUUAAGAUGGUGGCAACUGCAAUUUUGCACAAGUAUCGUCUCCAAGUGGUGGAAGGUUAUGUUGCUAAGCCAAACCUUUCAAUCGUUCUUCUGAUUAAGGAUGGGUUAAAGGUUACGAUAAAGAAGAGAGAAAUGUAAUUUGAUGUAUGUGGGAAUUCCGAAGUCAGAAACAGAAAGAAGUGUAAAAGAUAUAAAAUAAAGUGUGAUGUAUGUGAAAUGAAGCUAAUAAUGAUGGUGUAUAAUAUGCCUUUGGUUUGAUGAAUGCAUUUGGCUUAUUGCAGUAAGUUCCCAGGUUGUCGUUUUUUAACGACAGUUAAGUGCUAAACCGUCGGUGUUUGGAUGCAGAACCCAUUUUUAACGACGGUUCAGAAAAUAUCUGUCGUAAUUUUCACAUAGGACCAUUUUAAGCGAUGGUUAAAAAAGAAACUGUCUUAUUUUGCAGGGAAAUGUUGAGUUUGAGAAAUAAUGUCAAAUGUUAGAUAUUACAUGAGGAAAAGUUAAAUAUAAUUAACUUACAUUGUCGUUAGAUGUCAGUUCCAAAGGUGAUAUGUACCAAAUAAUAUGGUUAAUGUAUUAUUGCAUGUAUAUUAUCGUGUCACGCAAAUGACUAUUAUUGCUGAACUGAAUAUCUUCAAUGAGAUGAUUGUGUUGAUCAAUCCACAUUAUUAUCCACUUUUGAUGGCACCCUGUCCAAUUUUUGUUUGUUCUGUCUCUCAUAUCUUCUUUGUACAAUUGAUACAAGUUUAAUGGAAUAUCUUGUCAAAACCUAAAUUGUCAUAUCACUCAAUCAACUUGAUGAAAUUCAAAGGUGACAAAAAGUAUCAAAUGAACUACUUUCCUAUUACCAGGAUAAACCUCAACAAAUUAUUAAGGGAGCGAUGUCGUCUUUGUUGUAAGGAGUCCACAAGAAUUGCAAAAAUUGGUAUGAGACAAUAAAUGUUAAGAUUUGAUGUAGGUCUGUUAAACCAGUUUGGGCUUUAACUAAUCUAACUUCUUCCUUAUUAAACUCACUAAACUCGUAGGUGGGUGUUCAGAAUAAAUGUUUUAAAAAAAACAAAAAAGCUAAUAAUGAUUAAAAGUUUCAUUUGAAAAAGUAAUAGUGUACAUAAAAAUUUAUCUUUUGCGAGUGAAAUAAGUCCUACAACAUUUAUCUUUAAAAUUAGUUUUUAUUUAAUAAUUUUAUUGUAUUACGAAGUAUAACCAUAAGUGAAAGAAUGCACACUUAUUCUUCACGUACAACCAUUAAUGGUACAACAAAAACAAGUCAACAAAAAUUAGUGGAAAACCAUCCAAAUUGCCACUCACCUAAUAUAUGCACGCUACCAUUUAUUGGUACUUUUUCUUGAUGUGAAUUAAGGGUCACCACAUCCGUAUUACAUCCAUUACUACUAUAAACUUAAACCUCCCUCAACUUAAGGACAAUAAAUCCCCCAUUUUCGUCAUUACAUUUGCUACUAAAUGAAAUAUAAUCAACUUAUAAUAUGGAUGUUAGGUAGCCAUUUUUAAUUUUAGAUGAUUUAACUUAGAUUAAACAACUUGUUAACACAAUUCUAUUCACUUGUUCGAAAGUUUAAUUAUAACAAUUUGUUAAAGAAUUCAAGUUUAAUAUACUAUAUCAAUAUCAUAUAAAGUAUUUUUACAUUAUUAACUAAUUAUCAAUUAUUUUAAAUAAAAUUUUUUACUUAAUCAUUACAAAAUUUAAUAAUAUAUGUGAUAAUAUAAUUUGUUUUCAGAAAGAUUAUUUAAAUUAACUAACAAAAUUGCAUUAUUUAACUAAAUUUGAUGUUUUCAAAUGAAAUUUCAUAUUUAAAUUUUAUUGAUUUCUCAAGAGAUACAUAUUAUAAAUCUCACUCUUACAACUCAUUAAAUUAAUUCUUAAAACUUAAAAUUAGGACAUAAUAAAAUAAUUAAAUCAAAGUAAUAUAUUUUUACAAAAACUAUGGGUAUUAAAGCUUAAUUAUGUGAUACAAAGGGCCAUUAGUGAAUUUGGUGUGGGGAGGGCCAUUAGUGAAUUUGGUGUGGGGAAGUAUAUGGAUGACAGUUAUAGAAGAAAUUUGAAAGAACAAAAACAAAAGCAUUUUUAAGAAUAACACAAUUAAUCACAUUGAAAUGUUUAUAAUGAUACAACUAAAUGUAUGAUCUUAGGUCACUUUCUAAGGUAGAAGCUUCAAAUUUCUCUUAUUCAGAUUGGUGAAGGAUCCUUUCGUAUGUAUGAAAUCAAUAAGAAAUUGUGAUAACUAUUCAAAUUUAUUAAGAGUGAACUCAAUUCUUUUACACGUAUGGUUACAUCUUAAAUAUUUUCUUAAAACUCUGUCACUUUUGCUUUUCCCUUCGUGGGAUCGUUUGACACCUCGACCCCCUUGCACAAACUGACGAAGGUGACCAGCUUGGAUAAGUUCCUCAAUUUUAUCUUUCAACGCUUGGCACUCCUCAGUGGUAUGUCCAUUGUUUCUGUGGUACUGAAACCUACGAGUACGGUCGACAUUCUUAGGGCUCGCGACCUUCCUAGGUGGUGUAUCAACUUGGCGCUUAGGGCCUCAUCCAGGAUCCUCCCCCUAUCGACACUCAAGGGGGUAUACGUCGUGAACCAGCUCCCCCGGGUGUUUCUACGCCUAUCCCCCGACCAGAAGCUGGUCGGUUCUAAUGCUCUUUAUCAUCCUUCCCCUUAUAUCCACUGGCCUACGCCUGAGACUGAGUUUUGAACUCUCUCAACUCCUCCAGCUACAUAAAUUUGGCGGCUCUCCGCCUAAGCUCGUCUAAACUUGCAGUCGACUGCAUGCCCAAGCUGUCAGCAAAAGGUCCUGAUCGUAAGACCGUCAACAUGUGAUACAUUGCUACAUCCGGGCUUAGGUUCCAGAUGCUCUUGGCCAUUUUACCAAACCUGUCUACAAACUUCCUCAGUGAUUCCCCCUUCUCCUGGCCGAUGUUGACCAGGGUGAUGGAGGUUGACUGGUGGAAAAUUGUGUCCCGAACUUGGACACCAGUGCCUCUAAUCCGUCGACGAAGUUUGGGGGAGCUUUGUAAACCAACACAAAGCCCUUUCUUUCAGCGAUGUGGGGAACACUUGGCAUAGGAACGCGACAUCCGAUGUAUACAAGCUCAUGUGUGUGGUGUAUGCGUUCAUGUGCUCGUCUAGGUCGAUCAUGCCGUCAUAACAAUCCCUAUUGAAACCUUUCCACUUGUGCUGUAGUUGUACUUCGAUUAUGGAGUCGGUAAAAGGGUGUUGGCGGACUGAGUCCAUAGUACCGAUAAUGGGGAUUGACUUGUUCAGAUAAGAUUCACUGUCGACCUUUUGGGUAUGAAUUUUGUCCUUCGGCUCCUCAACAGUCUUGGGGUUGGUGAGGGUGGUGAAGGACCUCCCAACAAGAUUGGUCGGUCCAGCGGACGAUCCCCAAGAUUUCAUCCUCAUUCUUCUGAGUGAUCUCCUCAUUUCUUCUCUUCAUCUCAACCAUCUCUCUUUUUUCAGAGACAUCAACAAUGCCAUUUGCUUAAUUUCUGACAUCCUUUCAGUAGCCAUGCUUUAGCUUGAUACAAUCUACUUUCUUCUUCGCUCUGAUUCUCUAGGCCUCACGGUGGGCGCCAAUUGUUUUCGAAUGGGGUUAGGGCCUAGAGAACGAUUCAACCUGCUCCACUACCUCCUUCAUCGAUUGGUCGAUUUGCACUUCUGUUCUUCUCUUCUCACCCUACUCCUCAACCUUCACGUAAUCCAAACUCGGAUGAUACAUACAGAAGACACUUCGACCCUUAAGUCAGAUUUAGUAUUUGAUACUCGGUAUUCUGUGUACUAUGUAAUGACGUACCUGAUUCUUGAAAUCUGUGCUAAUUCUAUUAUUUUGGUGGGCCUUUCUCAUUGGGUCAGGUUGGAGAGCUGAAUCGUGUUUAGAAGUGUAUUACCUAACCCUUGAUUGUUGAUUAGCCUCAAUAAUUCUACUUAGGUGUAAUUGACUUGUAAUAUCAAUCAACAUAAUGACCGAAUACCGAGUCAUCCGUCGUGCUAGCCCUACCAGUAAAUUAAAGAUGUAGCUGUUUCAAAUCUUGUGAAAUAAAGAAGACGUGCACCUCUAUCUACCUUCAUGCCAACAAUUUCUUCAAUUUCUGACCUAACUAGUCAACAUCCUAUUUUCCAACUUCGUACAAUGUUCAUCGUUUCUUCUAUUUGCCCAAAAAAUUAAUAUACACUUAUCACGUGAACAUAAAUCAACAUCUAACCCUUUAUAAGAGCAUAAUAUCCAUGCAAGUGCCACACAUAUUCUCAAGAAACAACAUAAUAAACAAAGGUUUUUUGUGUUGUUCAUCAAUUUACUAUGGCACUAUUGCUUAGCUAUGCAGCAGCAACAGUUGCAGCACUCUUCUGCAUCAUGUAUUUCUUCCAUCGGAGAGCAUGUUGCAGGUACCCUCUCUUCACUGACUACCCCAUCCUUGGCAUGCUACCACAGUUACUCUUCAAUUUGUCGCGUUUCCAUGAUUUUUUCACUGAGAUAUUGAAAGAGAAGGGGGGAACUGGUGAGUUCACCGGACCAUGGUUUACCAACAUGAACUAUUUGUUCACGAGUGACCCCCUAAACGUGCGCCACGUCAUGAGCACGAGUUUCCACAACUACGUGAAGGGACCCGUGUUUCGUGACAUUUUUGAAGUCUUGGGAGAAGGGAUUGCAGCCACUGAUUCAGAAGCAUGGAAAUACAACAGGGAUCUCAUUCAUUAUCUCUUCAAACAGAAAAAGUUCGAGGUGUUUCUAGAGAAAACCAUUCACAAGAAGAUCAAGAAUAGCCUACUUCCCGUAUUGGAUCAUGUACACCAACAAGGGAGCGUGGUGGAUCUUCAAGAUCUCUUCAACCGCUUCACUUUCGAUAACUUAUGUUAUUCAGUUAAUGGCCAUGACCCUAAUUGCCUUUCCGUGGAUUUUCCCGAAGUUGAAAUUGAGAAGGCCUUUAAUGAUGCGGGAGAGACCAUUUUUCGCAGACAUGUAGUGCCAAAGUGUGUUUGGAAGCUGCAGAAAUGGCUUCAGAUUGGGCAAGAGAAGAAGAUGACAGAAGCGUGUAAGAAUCUUGAUGAGUUCAUAUAUGCAUGCAUAGCGUCCAAGAGAAAAAAUCUUAGCAAGUGCAUAGAAAAAAAUGAAACGGAAGAAACUUCUGAUGUUGACUUGUUGACAACUUUGAUGAGAGAAGGGAAGGAAAAAGGAGAAGAACAUGAUGAUAUAUUUCUAAGAGAUACUGUGUUCAAUUUUUUUGUGGCUGGGAGAGAUGCCGUAACUUCAGCUCUCACUUGGUUCUUUUGGCUUGUUGCUACAAACCCUUUGGUGGAAGCCAAGAUUCUUGAAGAGAUCAAAGAAACGUUUGGAAGAAAUGAAAAGAAAGCAGAGGUUUUAAGUGUGGAAGAAGUGAAAAAACUGGUUUAUCUGCAUGGUGCUAUAUGUGAAUCAUUGAGGCUGUUUCCUCCCAUACCCUUAGAACGCAAGGAAGCACUUAAAUCUGAUGUGCUUCCUAGUGGUCAUGGUGUUAAUCCAAGUACAGUUAUAAUGUUUUUCUUGUAUUCAAUGGGAAGAUCUGAGGAAAUAUGGGGAGAAGAUUGCAUGGAGUUCAAGCCAGAGAGAUGGAUUUCAGAGAAAGGAGGUAUUGUUUAUGUACCAUCUUACAAAUUUGUUGCUUUUAACACAGGACCUAGGACUUGCUUGGGCAAAGGUGUCUCCUUCAUUCAAAUUAAGAUGGUGGCAACUGCAAUUUUGCACAAGUAUCGUCUCCAAGUGGUGGAAGGUCAUGUUGCUAAGCCAAACCUUCAAACGUUCUUCUGAUGAAGGAUGGUUUAAAGGUUACGAUAAAAAAGAGAGAAAUGUAAUUUGAUGUAUGUGGGAAUAACGAUGUCAGAAACAGAAAGAAGUGUAAAAGAUAUAAAAUAAAGUGUGAUGUAUGUGAAAUGAAGCUAAUAAUGAUGGUGUAUAAGAUUCCUUUUGUUUGAUGAAUGCAUUUGGCUUAUUGUAGUAAGUUCCCAGGUUUCUCUUCCGGGCAAUUUCCUUCCGGCCCUAGCAUUGACAAAUUAAUAUUUUAUUGUAAAUCUUGUGGGAUGAAUUUGGGAUUGAAAUCUCAGCCAAAAUUCAAUAUACACAAUAAAUAAUAUCUGGUAAAAAUUUCAGACAAAAAGACCUAAGGAAUAAGGAGUAGUAAGUCGCAGACCGGAAGUGAACAAAAUUGGUUUUUCAAAAACAAAAUGUCCUUGUUUUCCUUCCCUAUAUCUCAUUUUUGUGAUUUCUUACAUGGGUGCAAAUAACAUAUGAAAGUACUUGUGUGAAUUUUUUUGGAAUAUUUCAACGUAAUACGUACUUAGAAUAAAAUUGCAGAAAAGUAGGACGAAAUGUCACAUUUUUUUGGUAGAUGAUAGCCUUGGUUUGCAAAAAAUUCUCCCAAAAUAAUUUUAUGCUGAAUAUCCACGUAAGAAUCUCGAUUGAAUUUGAGACAAAACAUGACAAAUUUCAGGUCAAACAAAUGAGUAUACCUAUGAAAAAAAUCAACAUUUUCACACAGAAACAAACCUUCCUUCUGACCCUGACAUUGAUGAAUAAAAAUUUUAUUGCAAAUCUUCUAGGACAAAUUUGGGGCUAAAAUAUCACCCAAACCUCAGUAAACACAAUGAUGAAUGUUUGGUAAAAGUUUCAGACCAAAAGACAAAAGGAAUAAGGCAUAGUAAGUCCUAGACCCGGAGUGAAACAAACUAGUUUUCCGAAAACAAAACGUCUUAGAUGUUCUUCCCUAUAUCUCCUUUUUGUGAUUUCUUUAUGGACGUGCCUUCUUACCUGGGAGCAAACAACAUAUGAAAGUAUUUAUGUGAGUUUUUUCGGAAAUUUUCAACUUAAUAUGGACCUAGAUAAAACUGUAGAAAAGUAGGGCGGAAUUUCACAUUUUUUGGUAGAGAAUAGUCGUGGUUUGCACAAAAUAUCUGAAAAGUUCUACCUAAAUAAUUUCCUGCUAAAAUUCCACAUAAGAAUCUUGACUGAAUUUUGGACAAAUCGGGAAAACUUUCAAGUCAACCGGAUGAGUAUUCACCUAUGCAAAAAAUCAAACAAUUUCACACACAAACGAACCUUCCUUUCGGCCCUUGGAGUGAUGAAUAAAUUUUUUAUUACAAAUCUUGUGGGAUGAAUUUGGGGCUCAAAUUUCAGCCAAAACACACAAUGACGAAUUUCAGGUCAAACAGAUGAGUAUUCAACUAGGAAAAAAAUUAAAUAGUUUCAGACACAAACUAGUUUUCCGAAAAGAAAACGUCCCGACUUUUCUUCCCCGUAUCUUCAUUUUGUGAUUUGUUUAUGAACGUGCCUCCUUACCUGUGUGAAAACAACAUAUGAGGGUACUUGCGUGAAUUUUUUCAGCGGAAUACGAACCCAGAAUAAAAUUGCAGAAAGUAGGGCGAAAUUUCACAAGUUCUGGUAGAGGAUAGCCUUGCUUUGGACAAAAUUUCUGAAAAAUUCUCCCGAAAUAGUUUUUUCCUAAAAUUCCAUGUAAAAAUCUCAACUUAAUUUGGGACAAAACGCGACAAAUUUCAGGUAAAACGGAUGAGUAUUUACUUAGGAAAAAAAUUACACAGUUUCACACAAAAACGAACCUUCCUUUUAGCCCUGGAAAUGAUGAAUAAUUUUUUUUUGCAAAUCUUGUGGCACGAAUUUGGGGCUCAAAUCUCAGCCAAAACUCAAUAGACACAAUGAUGAAUGCAUGGUAAAAAUUUCAUACCAAAAUACCCAAGGAGUAAGGCGUAGUAAGUCCCAGACCGAGAGUGAGCAAAACUGGUUUUCCGAAAACAAAACGUCCUGGAUUAUCUUCCCCGUAUCUUCUUUUUGUGAUUUAUUUAUGGACGUGCCUCCUUACCUGGUUGCAAAAGACAUGUGAGGGUACUUGCGUGAACUUUUUCAGCGUAAUAUGGACCCAAAAUCAAACUGUAGAAAGUAGGGCGAAUUUUACAAGUUUUGGUAGAGGAUAGCCUUGGUUUGUACAAAAUUUCCAAAAAAUUCUCCCGAAAUAGUUUUUUCCUGAAAUUUCACGUAAGAAUCUUGACUGAUUUUGGAACAAAACGAGACAAAUUUCAUGUCAAACGGAUGAGUAUUCACCUAGGAAAAAAAAUCAAAAAUUUCACACACAAAUGAACCUUUCUUUCGGCCCUGGCAGUGAUGAAAUUUUUUUUAUUAAAAAUCUUGUGGAACGAAUUUGGGGCUCAAAUCUCAAGCAAAACUUAAUAGACACAAUGAAGAUUGUUUGGUAAAAAUUUCAUAUCAAAAUAUCCAAGGUGUAGUAAGUCGCAUACCGAGAGUGAACAAAACUGGUUUUCCGAAAACAAAACGUCCUGGCUUUUCUUCCCCAUAUCUUCUUUUUGUGAUUUGUUUAUGGACGUGCCUUCUUACCUAAGUGCAAAAAACAUAUGAGGGUACUUGCGUGAAUUUUUUCAGCGCAAUACAAACCCAGAAUAAAAUUGCAGAAAGUAGGGCGUAAUUUCACAAGUUUUGGUGGAGGAUAGCCUUGGUUUGCACAAAAUUUCUGAAAAAUACUCCCGAAAUAGUUAUUUCCUGAAAUUCCACGUAAGAAUCUUGACGACAAAAUGUGACAAAUUUUAGGUUAAACGGAUGAGUAUUCACCUAGGAAAAAAUCAAACAGUUUCACACACAAACGAACCUUCCUUUCGACCCUGGCCGAGAUGAAUAAAAAGUUUAUUGCAAAUCUUGUGGGACGAAUUUGGGGCUCAAAUCUUAGCCAUAAAUCAAUAGACACAAUGACGAAUGUCUGGUAUAAAUGGCAUACCAAAAUACUCAAGGAGUAAGAUAUUACAUGACAUAUGGCGUGUCGUACUCUUGAAUAAUAAUGUCAAAUUUUAGAUAUUACAUGAGGAAAAGUAAAACGUAGUUAACUUACAUUGUCGUCAUAUGUCAGUUCCAAAGGUGAUAUGUACCAAAAAUGUAUUAUUGCAUGUAUAUUACUGUGUCAUACAAAUGACCAUUAUCGCUAAACUGAACACCUUCAAUGAGACGAUUAUGUCGAUCAGUCCACAUUACUAUCCACCUUUGAUGGUACUCUGUCCAACUUUUGUUUGUUCUGUCAUAUCUUCUUUGUACAAUUGAUAUAAGUUUAAUAGAUUUGAUGGAAUAUCUUGUAGAAACCUAAAUUGUCAUAUUACUCAAUCAAAUUGAUGAAAUUCAAAGGUGACAAAACAUAUAAAAUGAACUACCCUAUUAACAAGAUAAACCUCAACAAAUUAUUAAGGGAACAAUGUCAGCUCUCUUGUAAGGAGUCCACAAGAAUUGCAAAAAUUGUCAUUAGUACGAGACAAUAAAUGUCAUAAGAAUUGCAAAAAUUGUCAUUAGUACGAGACAAUAAAUGUUAAGAUUUAAUGUAGGUCUCUUAAACCAGUUUGGACUUUAACUAAUCCAACUUCUUCCUUAUUAAACUCACUAAACUCGUAGGUGGGUUUUUCUGGGUGACAGUGUACUAGAAAGAAAAAAAAAAGUUAAUAAUGAUUCAAAGUUUCAUUUGGAAAAGUAAUAGUGUGCAUAAAAAUUUAACUUUUUGCGAGUGGAAUCAAGUCAUACAACAAUGUCUUCUGCCAUUAAUUACUUAAUUGAUGGGAAAGGAAAAAACAUUUCAUUCUCACCAACAUUGUAAUAAUAGCAUGCAAUCUCUUAAAUUUUCUUGGUUCAAAUAAAUUCCAUAAUCUAAACUACGAUACACAACUAAGAGAACUUAAGUCAAUAUAGUAACUAAUUAUUUUUUUUUAUCUUUAAAAUUAAUUUUUAUUUAACAAUUUAUUAUAGUAAAAAAAUGGACGUACAUUCAUUUUAAGGGAUCACAUAGUUGAUUGCAUGAAAAAGAAGUUUGUAAAAGUUGUUCUUGAAUCAAACUAAUUCAAUUGUGUUUUCUUUAAUAACAUACACGUUUGGGAGAGGUAUGAACUCCAACCAUUAAUGGUACAACAGAAGCAAGUCAACAAAAAAUUGUCUUUCACUCACCUAAUAUAUGCACGCUACCAUUUAUUGAUAGCUGUUUGUUGUAUGAAGUUGAAGGCAUAUGUAACCUCCCUCAAACUUAAGGACAAUAAAUCCCCAUUUACGUCAUUACAUUUGCUACUUGUUCGAAAGUUUAUUUAUAACAAUUUGUUAAAGAAUUCAAGUUUAAUAUACUAUAUCAAUAUCAUAUAAAGUAUUUUUUACAUUAUGAACUAAUUAUAAAUUAUUUUAAAUAAGAUUUUUUACUUAAUCAUUAUAAAAUUUAAUAAUAUAUGUGAUAAUAUUAUUUGUUUUCUGAAAGAUUAUUUAAACUAACUAAACAAAAUUGCAUUAUUUAACUAAAUUUGAUGUUUUCAAAUGAAAUUUCAUAUUUAAAUUUUAUUGAUACUUCUCAAGAGAUACAUAUUAUAAAUUUCACUCUUCAAACUCAUUAAAUUAAUUCUCAAAACUUAAAAUUAGGACAUAAUGAAAUAAUUAAAUAACGUAAUAUAUUUUUACAAAAACUAUGGGUUUUUACAUAAAAAUUAAAUAUCAAUCCAAUUAAAGCUUAUGUGAUACAAAGGGCCAUUAAAUAUGGGUAGAUCAUUAUGAUCCAAAGGGCUAUUUCUACAAUUUAGAAUGAAGGAACAGUGAAUUUUGUGUAGGGAUUUAUAUGGAUGACAGUUAAGAAAUUUGGAAGCACAAAAACAAAAAGCAUUUUUAAGAAUAACAGAAUUAAUCACAUUGAAAUGUUUACAAUGGUACAACUAAAUGUAUGGUCUUGGGUCACGUCUAAGACAGAAGCUGCAAGUUUCUCUUAUUCAGACGAGUGCCUGAAUCCUUUCAUAUGUAUAAAAUCAAUAAGAACUUGGACACCAGUGCCUCAAAGCAGUGGACGAAGUUUGGGGGGAGUUUUGUAAACUAACUCAAAGCCCCUCUUUUCAGUGAUGUGGGGAACACUCGGCAUAGAACUGCGUUGUUCGAGGUAUACAAGCUCAUGUGCGUGGUGUACACAUUCAUGUGCUUGUCCGGGAUAUAGGAAGUCCACUUCUGGUUACUGUAUAUGGGUUGGGAUACCCCUGAAGUAUCCCCUUUAAUUUUACUUAUUCAUUGCUGAUCAAAAAAAAAAAUGUGCUUGUCCAGGUCGAUCGUGCCAUCAUAACAAUUCCUAUUGAAGUCUUUCCACUUGUCCGGUAGUGGUACUCCGAUUAUGGAGUCGGUAAAAGGGUGUUGGCAGACCGAGUCCAUAGUACCGGUCGUGGGGAUCAACCUGUUCAGAUAAGACUCGCCUUUGACCUCUUGGGUGUGAACUUUGUCCUUCGGCUCCUCAACAGUCUUGGGGCCGGUGGGGCUGGUGAAGGACCUCCCGACAAGAUUGGUCAGCCCAACAACUGUCCCCCCUCCACACUUUCUUUUCAUCUCUUCAUUCUCCUUUUGAAGAGCUAGAAUUUCAUUCUCAUUCUUCCAAGUGAUCUCCUCAUUUCUUCUCUUGAUUACCUAACUCUUGAUUGUUGAUUAGGCUCACUAAUUCUGUUUGGCUUUGUGGUGUCAAUCGACAUAAUGAACAGGUACCGAAUCAUAGUCUUGAUCGAGCUGGCCCUACCAGUACAUUAAAGAUGUUGCUCUUUGUGAAACAAAGAAGACGUGCACCUCUGUCUACCUUCAUGCCAACAAUUUCUUCAAUUUCUGACCUAACUAGUCAACAUCCUCUUUUCCAACUUCGUACAAUGUUCAUCGUUUCUUCUAUAUCUCCCCAAAAAUUUAAUAUACACUUUUCACGUGAACAUAAAUCAACAUCUAACCCUUUAUAAGAGCAUAAUAUGUAUGCAAGUGCCACACACAUCCUCAAGAAACAACAUAAGAAACAAAGGUUUUUGUGUUGUUCAUCAAUUUACUAUGGCACUAUUGCUUGGCUAUGCAGCAGCAACAGUUGCAGCACUCUUCUGCAUCAUGUAUUUCUUCCAUCGGAGAGCAUGUUGCAGGUACCCUAUCCUCACUGACCACCCCAUCCUUGGCAUGCUACCACAGUUACUCUUCAAUUUGUGGCGUUUCCAUGAUUUUUUCACUGAGAUAUUGAAACAGAAGGGGGGAACUGGUGAGUUCACCGGACCAUGGUUUACCAACAUGAACUAUUUGUUCACGAGUGACCCCCUAAACGUGCGCCACGUCAUGAACACGAGUUUCCACAACUACGGGAAGGGACCCGUGUUUCGUGACAUUUUUGAAGUCUUCGGAAAAGGGAUUGUAGGCACUGAUUCAGAAGCAUGGAAAUACAACAGGGAUCUCGUUCAUUAUCUCUUGAAACAGAAAAAGUUCGAGGUGUUUCUAGAGAAAACCAUUCACAAGAAGAUCCAGAAUAGCCUACUUCCCGUAUUGGAUCAUGUACACCAACAAGGGAGCGUGGUGGAUCUUCAAGAUCUCUUCAACCGCUUCACUUUCGAUAACUUAUGUUAUUCAGUUAAUGGCCAUGACCCUAAUUGCCUUUCCGUGGAUUUUCCCGAAGUUGAAAUUGAGAAGGCCUUUAAUGAUGCGGGAGAGACCAUUUUUCGCAGACAUGUAGUGCCAAAGUGUGUUUGGAAGCUGCAGAAAUGGCUUCAGAUUGGGCAAGAGAAGAAGAUGACAGAAGCGUGUAAGAAUCUUGAUGAGUUCAUAUAUGCAUGCAUAGCGUCCAAGAGAAAAAAUCUUAGCAAGUGCAUAGAAAAAAAUGAAACGGAAGAAACUUCUGAUGUUGACUUGUUGACAACUUUGAUGAGAGAAGGGAAGGAAAAAGGAGAAGAACAUGAUGAUAUAUUUCUAAGAGAUACUGUGUUCAAUUUUUUUGUGGCUGGGAGAGAUGCCGUAACUUCAGCUCUCACUUGGUUCUUUUGGCUUGUUGCUACAAACCCUUUGGUGGAAGCCAAGAUUCUUGAAGAGAUCAAAGAAACGUUUGGAAGAAAUGAAAAGAAAGCAGAGGUUUUAAGUGUGGAAGAAGUGAAAAA
RNAcentral lists this long non-coding RNA (22133 nucleotides) under Phaseolus vulgaris (common bean). RNAcentral's name for it is "long non-coding RNA (PVUL_LNC003239)". The record is from RNAcentral. Lineage: Eukaryota; Viridiplantae; Streptophyta; Magnoliopsida; Fabales; Fabaceae.